This is an RNA transcript of Gossypium arboreum, 3959 nucleotides long. RefSeq lists it as uncharacterized. Lineage: Eukaryota; Viridiplantae; Streptophyta; Magnoliopsida; Malvales; Malvaceae. The record is from RefSeq and is a predicted model, not a curated record. The transcript is spliced from 5 exons.
GCACAAUGAACACAAUAAGAUUGGAACAGUUAAUCGCAACCACAACAAGCUAUUCUUAGGCAGUUGGCAACUUGGCAUAGAAAGCUUACCAUAUUAUUCCUUGUUUAUUAUACUCAAAUUUCCCUUAUUCUUUCUUUUUCUUCUUUCAUUAAAAAGAAAAAUUAAAAUUAAAAUCUUUAAACGCCAUAUAUACUAAUUUCUCCCCAAUAAUCAAAAACAAAAAUUCAUAACAACAAAUUAAAUUCUCAAAGCAUUGAGAAACAAAAAACAAAAAAAAAAAUCUCUGUUUUUUCUCUAUUCAAUCCUCCAUCGAAGGGAUCAUGAGAUUCAAGAAAGGGACCAAAGUAGAAGUCUUGAGCAAAAAGGAGGUGCCAUCAGGCUCCUGGCAUUGUGCUGAAAUAAUCAGUGGCAAUGGCCACAACUAUAAGGUUAGAUAUGAAGCCUAUUCCAAUGCCGUUGACAAGACAAUUGUGGAGAUGGUAUCUAGGAAAGCUGUUAGACCUUGUCCUCCUGCAUUAGUAGUUUCAGAUAAUUGGGUUCCUGGUGAUGUUGUUGAGGUUUUUGACAAUUUUUCUUGGAAGAUGGCAACAAUUUUAGCGAUUUUGGAGAAAAAGUAUGUUUUGGUUAGGUUGCUUGGAUCAUCUCUGGAGUUUAGGGUCAGUAAAUUUGACAUCCGUGUGAGACAAUCAUGGCAAGACAAUGAGUGGGUUGUGAUUGGAAAGGGUUCUGGUAGUUGUGUAGAUCUUAAACAUGGUGAAAAUUCCACUCUUAGAUACAAGCAAAAUUCUAGCUCCCAAUUUCAAAAUACUAUUAGAAGGACAAAUAGGCAUGUCAGGGAUGAAUGUGGUCCUGUUAACACAAAGGUUAAUUACAGAGAUUCUGUUAUUGCUUCCUCAAAGACUCUAAAGAGAGGAUGCUACUCUCAGGUUGAAGCUCAUGCUGCUGCUGGACAGAAGCUUAGAGCAGUUGAGAGAAAUGAAAGAUUGUAUCGACUUGUUGCUGCAAAUCCAUCGGUUGUUGAACAGGUAGAUGCUGUUGCUUUCCCAAGAGAUAUGUUGGGUGAAAAAUACGUACAUUCUUCUCUUAACGACAAAACUGGCUUGUCUGAAGUGCAUGGAGACUGGAGAAAACCAAAUGGUGCUGUUGGAUGUUAUUUUGCAGAAACCAAUGAUGCUGAUAGUGUUACAUGCUCUGUUGGUAGUUGUAGCGUAAGUAGUAACAAUUUCUGUAGGUUGCCUCAUUGCGUUUCCACAGGUCCUAUUGAAGUUGUUGAUGGUCAAUGUAGUGAUGCUGAAUCUUUCUGUCCAAGGGGAGACGAGGAAGGAAAUUGUCUCCUUCCUACGAAAGAGGAACUGGCUGCCUUGAUUCAUAAGAUAAAGUUACGUGCAUACCGAUGCACUUUGGAGGCCUUGCACGCAUCAGGGCCUUUAAGUUGGGAACAAGAAGCUUUGGUGACAAAUCUUCGUCUUUCACUUCAUAUAUCUAAUGAUGAACAUUUGAUGGAGCUAAGAAACUUAAUUUCCUCUGAUAGUAACAUUCCUAUAAGAUAACCAGGAGUCUCUCUAGUUUUUUUUUUCUUUAUUUUUUUCCGUUCUCUAUUUUUUCCCUUAGGAAUAGACUUGGAUAAAUAAUUACACUGGUGACUCCCUCAAUUGUAUGAAGCUUGAUGAAAUAUGCUAUCAAUUUUCCUCAUUUAGGUAUAGAGCAUAUAGUGAUAUAUUUUGAAAUGAAUGUAACGCAACAGAAACUGAAGACCAUUAAAUGUUUCUGAGCUAAGCAUUGUGUAUCAGUUAUUCUAUCCCUUCUUGUCUCCCUAUUUUGUAUGUUUAUUUUAGCGAACCAAAUCUUUGAGAAAUAGCAUACCGGGAAUUUGCUAACAAUUGAGCAGAAAUCAAGAAUGCAUUUUUCUGAAUCUUUCUCUUCUGUAUAUUUCUUGCAUCUGUUAGAUGCACAAUUGAUAUUUGACAAAUCUUCUGGUGACAUUUUAUUGCUUAGUUAUUUAAAACAAGAUUGUCAUGUGAUAAAAUCCCUCUGGUUGUUUCUGAUUAAGUGUUUGUGUUUAUGUUUUUCUUGAUAUUUGAUUAGUACUAAGCAAAGAUGUUUCAAGCUUUCAAUUUGGUGAGAAUGUUCUCGGGGUAUAGUAAUAUGUUUGAAGCAUAUUCAUUCUCAGAUUGAGGAAAUUAUUGAUGCUUCCCCCUGUAUUUUCCAGGGUUGAAGAAGGAGGCUUAGACACCUUUCUUCCAAGUGUCUGAACUCUGAAGAUGAUUUUUGGGUCUCAUGCGAGCCCUAGAUAUCUGUGUUCCUACCUGAAUCUUGUGGCUGCCAUGGGAUUGACCUAAUAUCUGGAAUUCUCCAAAAGGGAGGGUUAUUCAUAAGCUGAAUCAAAUGCGUUCUUUUCCAUGGAAAAAGGAAGAGAGGCGAUGUGAAAGGUGUGGAAGUGAGCUGGUAUCCUUGGCUUGGAUUUGGGGCAAAACGUUAAAGUUUGGUACAUUGCUUGUAUCUUGAAACAUAUAUGGACACUUUUCUGUAUUUCCGGAUCCAUUUGCAUUGCUUGGAUUUUGGCAGGUUAAGACUCUUACUAUGUAGUUGGAGUUGGAAGAAAAUCUUGAAAAUAGGGGAGAUUGCUAGAAACUAUUCAAGAUACUGCUGCAGAUGGAGUUAUGUAGCAAAGCUCUGGGAAUUUUUUAACCUGCUGAUACUUAGAACGGGUAGAGGAACAAAUUACCAAAGUUGCCUUUGGAAUAAGUUGAUAUGUUCCCCAAGUGUGUGCUAAAAUUUUCUUUGAUAACCUGAUUAGCAAUCUUGGACAUUUGAGCAGCUUUUCCAGCCUUAUAGCCUUUCCAGCCUUUCCAUCAUGCGAAUGUAGUGAAUAGUGAUCACCUAUUUUUCUCUUGUAGUUAAUUCAAAGCCGAUCUACCAGAUGCUACUGCAAGAAGACCUGGUAUUUGUUUAGAUGAGCUUAGCUGGGUGAUCAGUACUUUAAAAGGGAAGUCAUCCAGUCUACUUUUUACUUGGAAUUGCAUUGACUGCAUGCAUAUUUUGGAAAAUACCGACCAAACUAGUUGCUAAUUUUUGGUGUUUCCUUCAUGAACUUUGUAAUGGAAGGGUUUCUGCUUACUUCGGAUGUUGAAAUGGAACUCAAAUCAUCCAAGAAUGAAAGGGUUGCUUCUGCUUUAUUAAAACAUAUUGGAAGAUUCUUUUUAGUGGCUACAAAUUUUGUUCUUAUGUCAACUUUCCCUUUAAAAAUUCCAAUCAUUUCUUAACAUGGGAUCCAAUAAGCAUAUGAUGCUUUUAAGCUUUAACUUUUGCUCUUAGGGCUGAUGAGUAUAGUUUUUUUUUUUUUUUAUUGUUGUCUACUCUCAGAAUUUCAUGUCCCCUUCUCGAGGAUAGCUCGAUCCCCGUUGUGCUGUUUUGUUGUAGUGACAAACGUGCCAAAGAUGCAAAGGCGUCUCUUUACACUCCUUUCCUCAUUCUCUCUUACUCGAGAUUUUGUUUCAGGCUAUUUGGUUGGGUCACUCAGCUAACCUACUGAAGUUAUUACAAUCUUGUGCUUGCUUUAGAAUUUGAUUAUUUUGCCUGCGAACGAAGCUCAACAAAGAGGCUUAUGUCAGAAACAAAUGCAAUUGCCAGACGUUGGGAAAGAUGCAAUUGAUAAGGGUUGGUAGUUUGAAGGUGGAAGUAUUGAUAUUCCUGCAUUUGCAGUAUGCUUCUCUUCUGUUGCAUUGCAUUGGAAAAACACUUCCCAUUUGUCACGGCAGACCUAUCAACAUGCUAAAUGUCCAUACUAGAGCAGGCAGUUCAUAUUUUAAAGUGUUGUGUUAUAUUUCUUUUCGUGUUAUAAUCGUGUCCUUCUAUUUACUAGUUAUAUUGUACUAUGUUAUACUAUUUUAUGACUAGAAUUUGGAUUAUAUUACAAUAAUGUAAUGCAAAGUAAAAAUACUUAUAAAAUUUGAAAAUAA